This is a small nucleolar RNA of Dipodomys ordii (Ord's kangaroo rat), 121 nucleotides long. The record is from Ensembl. Lineage: Eukaryota; Metazoa; Chordata; Mammalia; Rodentia; Heteromyidae.
AGCACUGUGUGUCUUUAAUUUGUAACAAAGUCCUAACAGACAGGUGCAAAUAGUAAAUCCUCUUUUGAACCUAGAACUCAUAGAUGAGUAUGAGGUUUUGAUACAUGUAAGAAGGCAUAUG